GCUUAUAAAACAGACGUAAAUCUCCUUCCAAAAAGAUCAAGUCCUGUUAAAGAUACAUAAACAAUCGAAAAAGCUCUCCAAAUCCCAACGUGUGAAGAGAAAGAUUGUCGUCUUAUUCUAGUGGAGAAAUUGUAUUUGUAGCUGAAUUAGGAAAACCUUGAAGAUGAAUGGGCAGAAAAGGAAGAAAUACGAUAGCGAGGAAGAGGAAUUAGUCGAAACAUGGAAAAAAUUGAAGACUGUGGUUGAUGAUAUGCCCGGAAUUCCGAUUGCUCCGCUGGAUACUGGGAAUAACAAGCAGGGCGUCAUCUUUGUCCUCGAAAUGGAGUUGGGCAAAGUUGGCAAGGUUUGUUUCCAAUUCAAAAUUGUAAUCGUCUAAUUGAUUUUUGUUUACAGACUUAUCAGCUAUUGAGAUCAGACGAGCAUGAGGAACAAAAACCGGAACCCCGCUGAUUAUCGCCCUGAUAUUGCUUUUCAGGCAAUCCAAACAAUUUUAGAUAGUCGUGUGAACAAAACUGGGAGGCUUAAAGCACUAUAUGUAAGCACACAGCAAGGUGAUCUUAUAGAGAUCAAACCUCAUGUGCGUAUGCCAAGAACAUACAAGAGCUUCGCGGCACCACAUUAAUGCAGCCGCAGCGGUGAAAGGCUUUUACAAAAUAUCAAGAACCCUGUGACCAAGUACUUACCCUCCAACUGUCGUAAAAUAGGCUUAUCACAUAGUUCGGAAAAAUUGGUGGAUAUGCACAGCUGCAUUGCUAAUAUCAACGAAGAGAUGGAUAUAGUUUUUGUGUUAGGAGCAAUGGCCUAUGGGAGAAUUGAUAAAGAUUAUGUUGAAGAUUAUGUUUCAAUCUCCGAAUGCAAUUUGAGUGCUGUGUACGCCAUUUCGAUGAUUACAAAUGCCGCAGAAAGGAAGUUCAAGAUCUUGUAAGGUCGUAGUGAAAGCCCGGCUGUAGCUUGGUUUCAUAUACAUCUCUUUGUUUGGUUAUGACUUAUGAGUUUUAGGUCUGUGGUUAAUCUUUAAUUGAAAUUUUGCACAUUUGUUUGUUA
Molecule: non-coding RNA, 1044 nt
Organism: Salvia hispanica
Lineage: Eukaryota; Viridiplantae; Streptophyta; Magnoliopsida; Lamiales; Lamiaceae
Source: RefSeq, a predicted model, not a curated record